RNAcentral lists this ribosomal RNA (350 nucleotides) under Clostridioides difficile. RNAcentral describes it as "bacterial LSU rRNA". It matches the Rfam family "Bacterial large subunit ribosomal RNA", at positions 1633 to 1994 of the family's 2925-position model. The record is from RNAcentral. Lineage: Bacteria; Bacillati; Bacillota; Clostridia; Peptostreptococcales; Peptostreptococcaceae.
UAAAGGUACCCGUACCGCAAACCGACACAGGUGGGUGAGGAGAGUAUCCUAAGGCCUGCGAGCGGACUGUUGUUAAUGAGCUCGGCAAAAGGACCCCGUAACUUAGGGAGAAGGGGUGACACCAUCAGGUGGCCGAAGAGAAUAGGCCCAAGCGACUGUGUACAAAAAACAUAGGUUUCUGCUAAGUCGCAAUACGAUGUAUAGGAGCUGACGCCUGCCCGGGGCUGGAAGGUUAAGGGGAUCUGUUAGAGCAAUCGAAGCAGUUAACUUAAGCCCCAGUAAACGGCGGCCGUAACUAUAACGGUCCUAAGGUAGCGAAAUUCCUUGUCGGGUAAGUUCCGACCCGCACG